UACGUUAAAUUAAUUUUAUUACUUACACUGGAUUUAUGUAAACAAAUGACUAAAACCAAAUCAAGUUAAUGGAACUAACAAUCACAAAAAAGCUUGACAGUCAGGGAGAUUUACAUUUCAAAAGCAAUUAAGCGUUAUUGAUUUGUUAGAACACAGCAUUAGCCAUGGUAAAUUAAUUGCAGGACAUUUGCUUUUAAGACUGCAAAAUGUAUUCUAACACCAUGGAGAAAUUGGCUUAAAUAAAAUGUCUACCUCCGCCAAAAUGGGGGGGGGGGGCUCAAAUUCAGCCACACCCACCACCCUUUUUGAUCCAGAAAAACCCUGCAUAUUAGGGGUUAAAUGUCUUGCUCAAGGGCACCUCAGAUAUAUUUGAUUAAAAUGCCCCAAAUUAAAAGAAAUCCACUCCUACAUGUAACACCAAAUAAAUAUACAGUACCAGUCAGAAGUUGAUACCUACUGCUUCCAGGGUUUUUAUUUUUUUCUACAUUGUAAAAUACGUGUAGACAUCUAUGGAAUCAUGUAGUAACCAAAAAAGUGUUAAAUAUAUUUGAGAUUCUUCAAAGUAGCCACACUUUGCCUUGAUGACAGCUUGGCAUUCUCUCAACCAGCUUCACCUGGAAUGCUGUUCCUACAUAUGCUGAGUGCUUGUUUGCUGCUUUUCCUUCACUCUACAGUUCAACUCAUCUCAAUUGGGUUGAGGUUGGGUGAUUGUGAAGGCUAGGUCAUCUGAUGCAUCACUCUCCUUCUUAGUCAAAUAGCCCUUACACAACCUGGAGGUGUGUUGGGUCAUGGUCCUGUUGAAAAACAAAUGAUAGUCCCACUAAGACCAAACACGAUGGGAUGGCGUAUCGCUACAGAAUGCCAUGGUAGCCAUGCUGGUUAAGUGUGCCUUGAAUUCUAAAUAAAUCAGACAGUGUCACCAGCAAAGCACCAUCACCUCCACACUUCACAGUGGGAACCACACAUGCAGAGAUCAUCCGUUCACCUACUCUGCAUCUCAAAGGCACGGCGGUUGGAACCAAAAAUCAAAAAUUUGGACUCAUCAAAGUACAGAUUUCCACUGGUGUAAUGUCCUUUGCUUGUGUUUCUUGCCCAAGCAAGUCUUCUUAUUGGUGUGGUUUCUUUGCAGAAAUUUGACCCAUGAAGGCCUGAUUCACGCAGUCUGUUACUUGAAUUCUGAAGCAUUUAUUUGGGCUGCAAUUUCUGAGGAUGUUAACUCUAAUAAAUGUAUUCUCUGCAGCAGAGGUAACUCUGGUUCUUCCUUUCCUGUGGUGGUCCUCAUGAGAGCCAGUUUCAUCAUAGCGCUUGGUUUUUGCAACUGCACUUGGAAGAAAUUUUCUGUAUUGACUGACCGUAUUUUUCUCUUUGCACCAAAUAGGGCUGUCUUCUGUAUACCACCCCUACAUCGGUUCAAACGCAUUAAGAAGGAAAGAAAUUCCAGAAAUUAACUUUUAAGGCACACCUGUUAAUUUAAAUGUAUUCCAGGUGACUACCUCAUGAAGCUGGUUGAGAGAAUGCAAAGCUGUCAAGAAUCUCAUAUAUUUUGAUUUAUUUAACACUUGAUUUCUACAUGAUUCCAUAGUUUGUCUUAACUAUUAUUCUACAAUGUAGAAAAGUCAAAGUGAAAAAAAAAUGGCUUCCACCAUUUCAAAGUAGUCAGUGAAUUGUUGCCUAUGGUUUGUAAAAUACAUUUUUAUAAAUUUGGUAGCCAACAAAUGAAUAAAGAUUUGGUUCAGCACUGCAGGUGGCGCUAAAUCACCAAUAUUAGCAAUACUCAUUUCAAACAAGAAAAUUGACAACUUUCAAAUUGAGAUGGCGCUACCCAUGCUGUCACAGAAUCCAUUGAGGCACAGAGGAAUCCUUUCUACCUCUAUGAAGCCAACACACAGGUUGGCGUGUUCUCAGGAGAUGACAUCAAGGAUGCACCUGGAGACCCCAUGGCAGCCCCACAGGAUAGGCUGAGUCUUGCAGGAGAGUGAUGACCUCACCACCCCCUAAUUUCUACCGGUAGAUGAGGGUUGUGUAAAUGUGACUUUAAAAAUAAUCUCUUCCUUUACUGACACCAUCCACAUCAGCUCUACAUUUAAAGGGAUUUUGACAAUGAAAACCUAUCUACUCACCCAGUCUGAUUAACGCAAGGAUACUUUUGUGAGCCAAUAUUAACUGGUGUUAGUGCAAUGACUGGGUGCAUGAUACCAUGGACUUCCAGUCAUUGUGCUAACACUAGUUAGCAUUGGCUCACGAAAGUAUCCUAGCGUAUACCUUUAAUCCAACUUAAAAGCUGCAAAGCCAAAGCUCUGCCAUCUCUGACCGUUCCUCUAGUCGUAGAAUAAAAUCCAUCCGUCUCUGCAAGUAGAAUAAAAUGCACCCUUCCAUCUCUCCUCUAGUAGAAUAAAAUGCAUACCCCCAUCUCGCCUCUGGUAGUAGAAUAAAAAUACAUCCCUCCAUCUCUCCUCCAGUAGAAUAAAAUGCAUCCCUCCAUCUCUCCUAGUUUAAUAAAAUACAUCCCUCCAUCUCUAGUAGAGUAAAAUGCAUCCCUCCAUCUCCUCUAGUUUAAGAAAAUACAUCUCUCCUCUAGUUUAAUAAAAUACAUCCCUGCAUCCCUCCAUCUCCUCUAGUUUAAGAAAAUACAUCUCUCUAGUUUAAGAAAAUACAUCUCUCCUCUAGUUUAAUAAAAUACAUCCCUCCAUCUCUCUAGUAGAAUAAAAUACAUCUCUCUAGUUUAAUAAAAUGCAUCCCUCCAUCUCUCCUCUAGUUUAAUAAAAUGCAUCCCUCCAUCUCUCCUAGUUUAAUAAAAUACAUCCCUCCACCUCUCCUCUAGUAUAAUAAAAUACAUCUCUCUAGUAGAGUAAAAUACAUCCCUCCAUCUCUCCUAAUUUAAUAAAAUACAUCUCUCCUCUAGUUUAAUAAAAUACAUCACUCCAUCUCUCCUCUAGUUUAAUAAAAUACAUCCCUCCACCUCUCCUAGUAUAAUAAAAUACAUCUCUCUGGUAGAGUAAAAUACAUCUCUCCAUCUCUCCUCUAGUUUAAUAAUAUACAUCUCUCCUCUAGUUUAAUAAAAUUACAUCCCUCCAGUAGAAUAAUACUUCCCUCCAUCUCUCUAGUAGAAUAAAAUGCAUCCCACCUCCUAGUUUAAUAAAAUACAUCUCUCCUCUAGUUUAAUAAAAUACAUCCCUCCAUCUGUCCUCUAGUUUAAUAAAAUACAUCUCUCCUCUAGUGUAAUAAAAUACAUCCCUCCAUCUCUCCUCCAGUAGAAUAAAAUAUAUCCCUCCAUCUCUCCUCUAGUUUAAUAAAAUACUUCCCUCCAUCUCUCUAGAAUAAAAUGCAUCCCUCCUAGUUUAAAAUACAUCCCUCCAUCUCUCCUAGUUUAUUAAAAUACAUCCCUCUAUCUCUCCUCUAGCAGAAUAAAAUAAAUCCCUCCAUCUCUCCUCUAGCAGAAUAAAAUAAAUCCCUCCAUCUCUCCCUUAGUUUAAUAAAAUACAUCCCUCAUCUCUCCUCUAGUAGAAUAAAAUACAUCCCUCCAUCUCUCCCUUAGUUUAAUAAAAUACAUCCCUCAUCUCUCCUCUAGUAGAAUAAAAUACAUCCUUCCAUCUCUCCCUUAGUUUAAUAAAAUACAUCCCUCAUCUCUCCUCUAGUAGAAUAAAAUACAUCCCUCCUCUAGUUUAAUAAUAUACAUCUCUCCUCUAGUUUAAUAAAAUACAUCUCUCCCCUAGUUUAAAAAAAAUACAUCUCUCCUCUAGUUUAAUAAUAUACAUCUCUCCUCUAGUUUAAUAAUAUACAUCUCUCCCCUAGUUUAAAAAAAAUACAUCUCUCCUCUAGUUUAAUAAUAUACAUCUCUCCUCUAGUUUCAUAAAAUACAUCCCUCCAUCUCUCCUCCAGUAGAAUAAAAUACAUCCCUCCUCUAGUUUAAUAAUAUACAUCUCUCCCCUAGUUUAAAAAAAAUACAUCUCUCCUCUAGUUUAAUAAUAUACAUCUCUCCUCUAGUUUAAUAAAAUACAUCCCUCCAUCUCUCCUCCAGUAGAUUAAAAUACAUCCCUCCAUCUCUCCUCUAGUUUAAUAAAAUACGUCCCUCCAUCUCUCCUAGUUUAAUAAAAUGCAUCCCUCCUCCUAGUUUAAUAAAAUACAUCUCUCCUCUAGUUUAAUAAAAUACAUCCCUCCAUCUGUCCUCUAGUUUAAUAAAAUGCACCCCUCCAUAUCUCCUAGUUUAAUAAAAUACAUCUCUCCUCUAGUAGAAUAAAAUGCAUCCCUCCAUCUCUCCUCUAGUAGAAUAAAAUACAUCCCUCCACCUCUCCUCUAGUAGAAUAAAAUACAUCCCUCCAUCUCUCCUCUAGUUUAAUAAAAUACUUCCCUCCAUCUCUCUAGAAUAAAAUGCAUCCCUCCUAGUUUAAUAAAAUACAUCCCUCUAUCUCUCCUAGUUUAAUAAAAUACAUCCCUCUAUCUCUCCUAGUUUAAUAAAAUACAUCCCUCCAUCUCUCCUCCAGUAGAAUAAAAUACAUCCCUCCAUCUCUCCUCUAGUUUAAUAAAAUACAUCCCUCCAUCUCUCCCUUAGUUUAAUAAAAUACAUCCCUCCAUCUCUCCUCUAGUAGAAUAAAAUACAUCCCUCCAUCUCUCCCCUAGUUUAAAAAAAAUACAUCUCUCCUCUAGUUUAAUAAUAUACAUCUCUCCUCUGGUUUAAUAAAAUUACAUCUCUAGUUUAAUAAAAUACAUCCCUCCAUCUCUCCUCUAGUUUAAUAAAAUACGUCCCUCCAUCUCUCCUCUAGUUUAAUAAAAUGCAUCCCUCCUAGUUUAAUAAAAUACAUCCCUCCAUCUCUCCCCUAGUUUAAUAAAAUACAUCCCUCCAUCUGUCCUCUAGUUUAAUAAAAUACAUCUCUCCUCUAGUAGAAUAAAAUACAUCCCUCCAUCUCUCCUCUAGUAGAAUAAAAUACAUCUCUCCAUCUCUCCUCUAGUUUAAUAAAAUACAUCCCUCCAUCUCUCCUCUAGUUUAAUAAAAUACAUCUCUCCAUCUCUCCUCUAGUUUAAUAAAAUACAUCCCUCCAUCUCUCCUCUAGUUUAAUAAAAUACAUCUCUCCAUCUCUCCUCUAGUUUAAUAAAAUACAUCUCUCCAUCUCUCCUCUAGUUUAAUAAAAUACAUCCCUCCAUCUCUCCUCUAGUAGAAUAAAAUACAUCUCUCCAUCUCUCCUCUAGUUUAAUAAAAUACAUCUCUCCAUCUCUCCUCUAGUUUAAUAAAAUACAUCCCUCCAUCUCUCCUCUAGUAGAAUAAAAUACAUCUCUCCAUCUCUCCUCUAGUUUAAUAAAAUACAUCCCUCCACCUCUCUAGUUUAAUAAAAUACAUCCCUCCACCUCUAGUUUAAUAAAAUACAUCCCUCCACCUCUCCUCUAGUAGAAUAAAAUGCAUCCCUCCAUCUCUCCUCUAGUAGAAUAAAAUACAUCCCUCCACCUCUCUAGUUUAAUAAAAUACAUCUCUCCUCUAGUUUAAUAAAAUACAUCCCUCCAUCUCUCCUCCAGUAGAAUAAAAUACAUCCCUCCAUCUCUCCGCUAGUAGAAUAAAAUACAUCCCUCCAUCUCUCCUCUAGUAGAAUAAAAUACAUCCCUCUAGUAGAAUAAAAUACAUCUCUCCUCUAGUAGAAUAAAAUACAUCUCUCCUCUAGUAGAAUAAAAAUACAUCUCUCCUCUAGUAGAAUAAAAUACAUCCCUCUAGUAGAAUAAAAAUACAUCUCUCCUCUAGUAGAAUAAAAAUACAUCUCUCCUAGUAGAAUAAAAAUACAUCUCUCCUCUAGUAGAAUAAAAUACAUCUCUCCUCUAGUAGAAUAAAAAUACAUCUCUCCUCUAGUAGAAUAAAAAUACAUCUCUCCUCUAGUAGAAUAAAA
Molecule: long non-coding RNA, 5867 nt
Organism: Oncorhynchus tshawytscha (Chinook salmon)
Lineage: Eukaryota; Metazoa; Chordata; Actinopteri; Salmoniformes; Salmonidae
Source: Ensembl